Long non-coding RNA from Melitaea cinxia (Glanville fritillary), 347 nucleotides. RefSeq lists it as uncharacterized. Lineage: Eukaryota; Metazoa; Arthropoda; Insecta; Lepidoptera; Nymphalidae. The transcript is spliced from 2 exons. The record is from RefSeq and is a predicted model, not a curated record.
GUAUGACGCAGAUUUCCACGUACGUUAGUCAUGGUCUCUCCUGAAAAACGGCCGAACACGUCCCGGUUUAUGCAAACAUCCCAGAUAAUCCAAGACUCACAACUAAACUGCGUUGCCGCGUGUACCGAAAAAGCAAGAGUUAAUACAAUGUAGCAUCAAUAUGUCGUGCAAGUUUACUAGCACAAGAAUAGACGAAGACCAGUCGUGGCCUAGUUUUGUGUGUCCAAACUGAAAUGUUAACGCAUGCGACAGCGUGUUCGGACUUCGGUGGCCUACCUUUGAUCUGAUCAAUUUAUAUCUCACACUUUAUGCCAUCUACUUUAUCUAAAAAUUUAUAGCAUUCAAAA